ACGCUCGACACCUACGGGACAGCAGUGGGGAAUAUUGCACAAUGGGGGAAACCCUGAUGCAGCGACGCCGCGUGAAGGAAGAAGUAUUUCGGUAUGUAAACUUCUAUCAGCAGGGAAGAAAAUGACGGUACCUGACUAAGAAGCCCCGGCUAACUACGUGCCAACAGCCGCGGUAAUCUGAGCGGGCUGGCAAGGC
This 196-nucleotide ribosomal RNA is filed under the name uncultured bacterium. RNAcentral's name for it is "partial 16S ribosomal RNA". It matches the Rfam family "Bacterial small subunit ribosomal RNA", at positions 326 to 539 of the family's 1533-position model. The record is from RNAcentral.